AGCGAACGCUGGCGGCAGGCUUAACACAUGCAAGUCGAGCGGGCACUUCGGUGUCAGCGGCAGACGGGUGAGUAACACGUGGGAACGUACCCUUCGGUUCGGAAUAACGCUGGGAAACUAGCGCUAAUACCGGAUACGCCCUUUUGGGGAAAGGUUUACUGCCGAAGGAUCGGCCCGCGUCUGAUUAGCUAGUUGGUGGGGUAAUGGCCUACCAAGGCGACGAUCAAUAGCUGGUCUGAGAGGAUGAUCAGCCACACUGGGACUGAGACACGGCCCAGACUCCUACGGGAGGCAGCAGUGGGGAAUAUUGGACAAUGGGCGCAAGCCUGAUCCAGCCAUGCCGCGUGAGUGAUAAAGGCCUUAGGGUUGUAAAGCUCUUUUGUCCGGGACGAUAAUGACGGUACCGGAAGAAUAAGCCCCGGCUAACUUCGUG
This 433-nucleotide ribosomal RNA is filed under the name uncultured bacterium. RNAcentral's name for it is "partial 16S ribosomal RNA". It matches the Rfam family "Bacterial small subunit ribosomal RNA", at positions 29 to 507 of the family's 1533-position model. The record is from RNAcentral.